Molecule: ribosomal RNA, 429 nt
Filed under: Actinomycetes bacterium
Lineage: Bacteria; Bacillati; Actinomycetota; Actinomycetes
Description: Actinobacteria bacterium partial 16S ribosomal RNA
Rfam family: Bacterial small subunit ribosomal RNA
Source: RNAcentral
UGGGGAAUAUUGGACAAUGGGGGCAACCCUGAUCCAGCAAUGCCGCGUGUGUGAAGAAGGCCUGAGGGUUGUAAAGCACUUUCAGUGGGGAGGAGGAUUGUUAGGUUAAGAGCUAGAUAAUUGGACGUUACCCACAGAAGAAGCACCGGCUAACUCCGUGCCAGCAGCCGCGGUAAUACGGAGGGUGCAAGCGUUAAUCGGAAUUACUGGGCGUAAAGCGUGCGUAGGUGGUUUGGUAAGUUAUCUGUGAAAUCCCUGGGCUCAACCUGGGCAGGUCAGAUAAUACUGCUGAACUCGAGUAUGGGAGAGGGUAGUGGAAUUUCCGGUGUAGCGGUGAAAUGCGUAGAGAUCGGAAGGAACACCAGUGGCGAAGGCGGCUACCUGGCCUAAUACUGACACUGAGGCACGAAAGCGUGGGGAGCAAACAGG